GAUGAACGCUGGCGGCGUGCCUAAUACAUGCAAGUCGAGCGAACAGACGAGGAGCUUGCUCCUCUGACGUUAGCGGCGGACGGGUGAGUAACACGUGGAUAACCUACCUAUAAUACGGGGAUAACUUCGGGAAACCGGAGCUAAUACCGGAUAAUAUAUUGAACCGCAUGGUUCAAUAGUGAAUGACGGUUUUGCUGUCACUUAUAGAUGGAUCCGCGCCGAAUUAGCUAGUUGGUAAGGUAACGGCUUACCAAGGCAACGAUGCGUAGCCGACCUGAGAGGGUGAUCGGCCACACUGGAACUGAGACACGGUCCAGACUCCUACGGGAGGCAGCAGUAGGGAAUCUUCCGCAAUGGGCGAAAGCCUGACGGAGCAACGCCGCGUGAGUGAUGAAGGUCUUCGGAUCGUAAAACUCUGUUAUUAGGGAAGAACAAAUGUGUAAGUAACUAUGCACGUCUUGACGGUACCUAAUCAGAAAGCCACGGCUAACUACGUG
This 497-nucleotide ribosomal RNA is filed under the name uncultured bacterium. RNAcentral describes it as "partial 16S ribosomal RNA". It matches the Rfam family "Bacterial small subunit ribosomal RNA", at positions 28 to 507 of the family's 1533-position model. The record is from RNAcentral.